This 894-nucleotide ribosomal RNA is filed under the name uncultured archaeon. RNAcentral describes it as "bacterial SSU rRNA". It matches the Rfam family "Archaeal small subunit ribosomal RNA", at positions 1 to 897 of the family's 1478-position model. The record is from RNAcentral.
UUUUCCGGUUGAUCCUGCCAGAGGCUACUGCUAUCGGGGUUCGAUUAAGCCAUGUGAGUUAAAUGUUCUUUGUGAACAUAGCGAACUGCUCAGUAACACGUGGAUAACCUACCCUUAGGACCGGAAUAACCCCGGGAAACUGGGGAUAAUACCGGAUAAGCCAUAGACGCUGGAAUGCCCUAUGCUUCAAAGCUCCGGCGCCUAAGGAUGGAUCUGCGGUCUAUCAGGUUGUAGUGGGUGUAACGUACCUACUAGCCGACGACGGAUACGGGUUGUGAGAGCAAGAGCCCGGAGAUGGAUUCUGAGACACGAAUCCAGGCCCUACGGGGUGCAGCAGGCGCGAACACUUUACAAUGCGGGAAACCGCGAUAAGGGAACCCCGAGUGCCAGCAUCAAAUGUUGGCUGUCCAGAUGAUUAAAAAUCAUUUGUUAGCAAGGGCCGGGCAAGACCGGUGCCAGCCGCCGCGGUAACACCGGCGGCCCGAGUGGUAGCCGUUUUUAUUGGGUCUAAAGGGUCCGUAGCCGGCUUGAUAAGUCCUUUGGGAAAUCUGGCAGCUUAACUGUCAGGCUUCUAAGGGAUACUGUCAGGCUUGGGACCGGUAGAGGUAAGGGGUACUCCAGGGGUAGGAGUGAAAUCUUGUAAUCCCUGGGGGACCAUCUGUGGCGAAGGCGCCUUACCAGAACGGGUCCGACGGUGAGGGACGAAAGCUAGGGGAGCAAACCGGAUUAGAUACCCGGGUAGUCCUAGCUGUAAACGAUGCUCGCUAGGUGUCAGACACGGUGCGACCGUGUUUGGUGCCGCAGGGAAGCCGUUAAGCGAGCCACCUGGGAAGUACGGUCGCAAGGCUGAAACUAAAGGAAUGGCGGGGCAGCAACUACAAAGCAAGAAAGAGC